This 253-nucleotide ribosomal RNA is filed under the name uncultured bacterium. RNAcentral describes it as "partial 16S ribosomal RNA". It matches the Rfam family "Bacterial small subunit ribosomal RNA", at positions 524 to 776 of the family's 1533-position model. The record is from RNAcentral.
UACGGAGGGGGCGAGCGUUGUUCGGAAUCAUUGGGCUUAAAGGGCGCGUAGGCGGCUCUUCAAGUCAGGGGUGAAAUCCCUCGGCUUAACUGAGGAAUUGCCUGUGAAACUGCGGAGCUCGAGGGCGGUAGAGGGUAGUGGAAUUCCUAGUGUAGCGGUGAAAUGCGUAGAUACUGGGAGGAACACCAGUGGCGAAGGCGGCUUCCUAGACCGUAUCUGACGCUGAGGCGCGAAAGCGUGGGGAGCAAACAGG